AAUAGAUACCCAGGUAGUCCACGCCGUAAACGAUGAGUGCUAAGUGUUAGGGGGUUUCCGCCCCUUAGUGCUGCAGCUAACGCAUUAAGCACUCCGCCUGGGGAGUACGGUCGCAAGACUGAAACUCAAAGGAAUUGACGGGGGCCCGCACAAGCGGUGGAGCAUGUGGUUUAAUUCGAAGCAACGCGAAGAACCUUACCAGGUCUUGACAUCCCAUUGACCACUAUGGAGACAUAGUUUUCCCUUCGGGGACAACGGUGACAGGUGGUGCAUGGUUGUCGUCAGCUCGUGUCGUGAGAUGUUGGGUCAAGUCCCGCAACGAGCGCAACCCUUGUUCUUAGUUGCCAUCAUUUAGUUGGGCACUCUAAGGAGACUGCCGGUGACAAACCGGAGGAAGGUGGGGAUGACGUCAAAUCAUCAUGCCCCUUAUGACCUGGGCUACACACGUGCUACAAUGGACGGUACAAACGGUUGCCAACCCGCGAGGGGGAGCUAAUCCGGAUAAAACCGUUCUCAGUUCGGAUUGUAGGCUGCAACUCGCCUAC
Molecule: ribosomal RNA, 545 nt
Filed under: uncultured bacterium
Lineage: Bacteria
Description: bacterial SSU rRNA
Rfam family: Bacterial small subunit ribosomal RNA
Source: RNAcentral